This 404-nucleotide ribosomal RNA is filed under the name uncultured Telonemia. RNAcentral's name for it is "partial small subunit ribosomal RNA". It matches the Rfam family "Eukaryotic small subunit ribosomal RNA", at positions 30 to 432 of the family's 1831-position model. The record is from RNAcentral. Lineage: Eukaryota; Telonemia.
GCUUGUCUCAAAGAUUAAGCCAUGCAUGUCUAAGUAUAAGCCUUUAUAUGGUGAGACUGCGAAUGGCUCAUUAAAUCAGAAACUGUUUAUUUGAUAGUGCCUACUACAUGGAUACCUGUAGUAAUUCUAGAGCUAAUACAUGCAAAAAGCCUGGACUUCUGGAACAGGCGUAUUUAUUAGAUCCAACCAACCGCGGCGGGCAACCGGCGCGAACCUGGUGAAUCAUGAUAACUGAGCGAAUCGUAUGGCCUCGCGCCGACGAUGGUUCAUUCAAGUUUCUGCCCUAUCAGCUUUCGAUGGUAGGGUAUUGGCCUACCAUGGCAUUGACGGGUAACGGAGAAUUAGGGUUCGAUUCCGGAGAGGGAGCCUGAGAAACGGCUACCACAUCCAAGGAAGGCAGCAGG